Molecule: ribosomal RNA, 450 nt
Filed under: uncultured bacterium
Lineage: Bacteria
Description: bacterial SSU rRNA
Rfam family: Bacterial small subunit ribosomal RNA
Source: RNAcentral
ACUCCUACGGGAGGCAGCAGUGGGGAAUAUUGCACAAUGGGCGCAAGCCUGAUGCAGCAACGCCGUGUGAGUGAAGAAGGUUUUCGGAUCGUAAAACUCUGUCCUAAGGGAAGAAACAAAUGACGGUACCUUAGGAGGAAGCCCUGGCUAACUACGUGCCAGCAGCCGCGGUAAUACGUAGGGGGCAAGCGUUAUCCGGAAUCACUGGGCGUAAAGGGUGCGUAGGCGGCUUAGCAAGCCAGGGGUGAAAGGCAUUGGCUCAACCAAUGUAAGCCUUUGGAACUGUUAAGCUUGAGUGCAGGAGAGGUAAGUGGAAUUCCUAGUGUAGAGGUGAAAUUCGUAGAUAUUAGGAGGAACACCAGUGGCGAAGGCGACUUACUGGACUGUAACUGACGCUGAUGCACGAAAGCGUGGGUAGCGAACAGGAUUAGAUACCCUGGUAGCACAGAG